UCCCAUGUGGUCUAGCGGUUAGGAUUCGUGGCUUUCACCCACGCGGCCCGGGUUCGAUUCCCGGCAUGGCAA
Molecule: transfer RNA, 72 nt
Filed under: Toxocara canis (dog roundworm)
Lineage: Eukaryota; Metazoa; Nematoda; Chromadorea; Rhabditida; Toxocaridae
Rfam family: tRNA
About the family: Transfer RNA (tRNA) molecules are approximately 80 nucleotides in length. Their secondary structure includes four short double-helical elements and three loops (D, anti-codon, and T loops). Further hydrogen bonds mediate the characteristic L-shaped molecular structure. tRNAs have two regions of fundamental functional importance: the anti-codon, which is responsible for specific mRNA codon recognition, and the 3' end, to which the tRNAs corresponding amino acid is attached (by aminoacyl-tRNA synthetases). tRNAs cope with the degeneracy of the genetic code in two manners: having more than one tRNA (with a specific anti-codon) for a particular amino acid; and 'wobble' base-pairing, i.e. permitting non-standard base-pairing at the 3rd anti-codon position.
Source: Rfam by way of RNAcentral